RNAcentral lists this ribosomal RNA (1211 nucleotides) under metagenome. RNAcentral's name for it is "bacterial SSU rRNA". It matches the Rfam family "Bacterial small subunit ribosomal RNA", at positions 287 to 1520 of the family's 1533-position model. The record is from RNAcentral.
CUGGUUUGAGAGGAUGAUCAGUCACACUGGAACUGAGACACGGUCCAGACUCCUACGGGAGGCAGCAGUGGGGAAUAUUGCACAAUGGACGAAAGUCUGAUGCAGCAACGCCGCGUGGAGGAUGACACAUUUCGGUGCGUAAACUCCUUUUAUAUAGGAAGAUAAUGACGGUACUAUAUGAAUAAGCACCGGCUAACUCCGUGCCAGCAGCCGCGGUAAUACGGAGGGUGCAAGCGUUACUCGGAAUUACUGGGCGUAAAGAGCGUGUAGGCGGGUAAAUAAGUUGGAAGUGAAAUCCUAUGGCUCAACCAUAGAACUGCUUCCAAAACUGUUAACCUAGAAUGUGGGAGAGGUAGAUGGAAUUUCUGGUGUAGGGGUAAAAUCCGUAGAUAUCAGAAGGAAUACCGAUUGCGAAGGCGAUCUACUGGAACACUAUUGACGCUGAGACGCGAAAGCGUGGGGAGCAAACAGGAUUAGAUACCCUGGUAGUCCACGCCCUAAACGAUGUACACUAGUUGUUGUGAGGCUAGACCUUGCAGUAAUGCAGUUAACACAUUAAGUGUACCGCCUGGGGAGUACGGUCGCAAGAUUAAAACUCAAAGGAAUAGACGGGGACCCGCACAAGCGGUGGAGCAUGUGGUUUAAUUCGACAUACGCGAAGAACCUUACCUGGUCUUGACAUAGAAAGAACUUUCCAGAGAUGGAUUGGUGCCUGCUUGCAGGAGCUUUCAUACAGGUGCUGCACGGCUGUCGUCAGCUCGUGUCGUGAGAUGUUGGGUUAAGUCCCGCAACGAGCGCAACCCUCGUCGUUAGUUGCUAACAGUUCGGCUGAGAACUCUAACGAGACUGCCUACGCAAGUAGGAGGAAGGUGAGGACGACGUCAAGUCAUCAUGGCCCUUACGACCAGGGCUACACACGUGCUACAAUGGGGUAUACAAAGAGCAGCGAUACGGUGACGUGGAGCGAAUCUCAAAAAUGCCUCCCAGUUCGGAUAGUAGUCUGCAACUCGACUACUUGAAGUUGGAAUCGCUAGUAAUCGUAGAUCAGCUAUGCUACGGUGAAUACGUUCCCGGGUCUUGUACUCACCGCCCGUCACACCAUGGGAGUUGAAUUCAUUCGAAGCGGGGAUGCUAAAAUAGCUACCUUCCACAGUGGAUUUAGCGACUGGGGUGAAGUCGGAACAAGGUAACCGUAGGAGAACCUGCGGUUG